Long non-coding RNA from Harpia harpyja (harpy eagle), 924 nucleotides. RefSeq lists it as uncharacterized. The transcript is spliced from 2 exons. The record is from RefSeq and is a predicted model, not a curated record. Lineage: Eukaryota; Metazoa; Chordata; Aves; Accipitriformes; Accipitridae.
AAAAAGGUAGGUCCUGAAGGAUUUAAUCCUCUACUUAGAUGGUUGUGUCCUACCAUUGUUUAGCCACUGCUUGACCUUGCAGGUCCCCAAGAAUCGUUGUCUCCACUAAUCACCAGGAGGCUCAGAUGCCUGCUGCUGGCCGGGGGCAGGCAGCUCCACGGCCCGAGCUGUCUGAUGGUGCAGUCCCAGGACCUGCAGAUCCUGGAGAACUGCAACUGGAUUUGGCUGCUUCUUGUCUCCCCUUCGCCAUCCCAGUACAUGCUGUGAUGCUGCUCUGUACCGUGGAACAGCUGCCUCAGCCUACAUCUGCUGAGACACUCCAGCUGCAAUGAGCUGCAGGAUUAAAAAUUAAACUAAUACACAUUUAAGAAAUCUGGAUGGGCAGAAUCAGUCUAAAUUUUUGAAGAGACUGAAAUGACUGUAGGUGUGUCAGUUGCUUUUACAUCCCUGAGAUUUAUUGAAUAUUAUACUGGGCAGAGAAAUGGUCUCUGUUUAGGAACAAUUUGUGCUACCUGAUGAGGUGAUUGCCUAGUCAUUUGUCUUCAGCAGUUACUCUCAUGGGAAAACAGUUAUCUUUUCUUGUAAUUUUACUCAUGGAUAUCUUGCAGAAUUUCCAUAUUCUUAAGCUUUACCUCCCUAAAGCAAAAAUAGGAAAAUUUCAGAUUUGUUUGCUUAGUCCCUGAAAAGUUGUAGCAAUAAUUACAGAAAUAAGCUACGACUAUCACAUCAGAAGCUAAAUGCUGCAUCUGAGCUUGCAUGAUAACCUUUGGAUCUUCUAGCCAGCUCUUAAUUUGCCAAGGAAAAGUAGUUUCCCUGGAGAAUAACUGGGCCAAAGAACUGGGGUAACAACGGCUGAAAAAGUCAAACCCUCUAAAAUCAACUUAAAACCAUUAAAGUUUCCCCUUUCAAAUACGAGAAUUAACA